UCCUACGGGGGGCAGCAGUGGGGGAUAUUGCACAAUGGGGGGAACCCUGAUGCAGCGACGCCGCGUGGGCGAUGGAGUACUUCGGUAUGUAAAGCCCUAUCAGCAGGGAAGAAAAUGACGGUACCUGACUAAGAAGCCCCGGCUAACUACGUGCCAGCAGCCGCGGUAAUACGUAGGGGGCAAGCGUUAUCCGGAUUUACUGGGUGUAAAGGGAGCGUAGACGGCUGUGCAAGUCUGAAGUGAAAUGCCGGGGCCCAACCCCGGCACUGCUUUGGAAACUGUACAGCUAGAGUGCAGGAGGGGUG
This 305-nucleotide ribosomal RNA is filed under the name uncultured bacterium. Its description in RNAcentral is "bacterial SSU rRNA". It matches the Rfam family "Bacterial small subunit ribosomal RNA", at positions 337 to 659 of the family's 1533-position model. The record is from RNAcentral.